GGUGGAAUAACAUCUCCCAAAACAUGUUUGUUUCCCUGUGAAGAAUGUCAGAAACACCACACCAUCUUGGCAACGGCUAUUUCUGAAGGUGAGCAGCGAAUAUGGUAUGAAAAAAGGGAGUGCUAAAAGCUGUGGUAAGCAGCUGGCAGAGAUGAAUCUCCUCUUCUUGUGCCUCAAAGCUGUGAACUUCUCAACCUGAGUAGGCCAGGGAAGGCAACAUUACCUUCUAUGAUGAAAAUGCCUGGCAUGGCCUAGAGGAAACAUCAGUAGCAGGAAGCAAAGCAGAUUGAAAGUGAAAUUUUAACAGGUGAUUUGGGAAUUGGCUGUGAUUUUAACAACUAAUUUAACUGACCAGGACCAAACCUUUCUUCGUACUACCCUGAAGAGAGUAAUAAAAUUCAGAACAAGCAAGUUUGAAAGCAAGGACUAAAAGAAGUAAAACAAACUACCGUGUCGUGUUGAGCUAAAAACUGUCUAGAAAUUAAAAUGAGAUUAAAUACUCUCUGGAAAUGUUCCCAAUGCAAUUAGAAUUUCCUGUUGCAACUGAAUUGCCACUGAUCAAAAAAUCUUGGAUUUGGCUGUAGAAUAAGAUAAUUUAUUUAUUUAUUUAUUUUUUAUAACCAUGAUUGCAGAAAUCAAUAUUAGCCAAAAAAUGUUAAGAAGUAAUGUUUUAUUGUGGAAUGUAUGGGAGAGUGGGAAAAAAGGUGUAAGGGCUUGUCUCCUGAAACUGCAAGGGCCAACCUUCCCCUCCUGCCUGGCCAGCAAAGACUUUUUGGGUGCUGUAUUGGACAGAGUCUCUACACCAAGUUCAAGAUGAUUGGACAAAUUAUCCCAAAAAAGGGGGAGGUAACUUUGUGUCAACCAAAGGAAAAUAUGGAUCUGUUGCAGGAGAGGAUAUGAAAUACUGUAGAACCUUCAGGACUUCUUGACUGAAUAUUAUGAUAUAUGGAAAGAGUUAUGGAUAAAGAGUAUAAAUCUCAUUUGGGGUGAGUGAGGUAAUUUGUUGUUGACCAGGACAAGUGUUUUUGAAGAGUGGAAUUAAAAUUUUUCAUUGAGUAGGGACAGGACAUUGAUUUGUGGUCAUUACAGCAAAGAAGAACAGUGCUCUUGACCUACUACUACCUACACUUUGACAUAAGAUAACAAGAAUUUAUUGUUGCUUUUUGUUCUCUGCUGCUUAAAGUUCUGCACUGGAAUUCAAACCUGUUUUCAUGUGGCUUCAAGUACUCUGUAUUUCUUAAGAAGCAUGGUGAUCUGUGGCAGAAAUUCUGGUGGAAAAGACAUUUUGCUGCCAGUAUACCAAACAUACUGGAGUUAUUCAAGUCCUUAGUACCCUUUUUAAAACUUUCUGAUUUCAUGAGCCAUUUUCCUGGCAUCUCAGAAUGGCAAAAUUAUGGUUUUAUAAGGGAAAAGUACUGGAUAUAUUUUUUUCCAUCUUCAAAUCCACUCUAUCUCAAAGGGGCUUUUACGCGGGUAGUUUUGUUACUCAGUGGGAACACAGACUAAGCAAUGUUCCUAUACAACGAUGAUGCAAAGAAGAAGCAUUUGUUUCCUUUUUGUCUAUGGCUGGCUGUCAGCUGCAAAAAUAUUAAAUGUGGCUAGCAAUUUCAGGUAAUUGCUGAACAGAAAGGAUUAUUUAUAAAGAAUGAAUUGUUCCAAAUAGAAGUAAAAAUUCAGUGUCCUUUCUCUGGGCACUGUAUGUGAAAUCCAGCUGACCAAACACAGAUUAUUACUCUGCCAGUAUCAACAUCUGAGAUAGUUGUCUGCACGCUCUUUACAAGAUAAUAGAGAAUAAACAGCACUAGAAUGAGAUGUGGUUUACUUCA
This 1826-nucleotide long non-coding RNA is filed under the name Anas platyrhynchos platyrhynchos (common mallard). RNAcentral describes it as "lncRNA (ENSAPLG00000029222.1)". The record is from RNAcentral. Lineage: Eukaryota; Metazoa; Chordata; Aves; Anseriformes; Anatidae.